CCACUCAAGACUGGUUGCCAACUGGAUUUAACUCCAUUCACCACCACUCUCUGGGCCCAGUCCUCCAGCCAGCUCCUUACCCAGCAAAGACUGUACCUGUCCAAGCCACAGGCUGCCAGCUUUUCCAGGAGAAUUCUGUGGGGGACAGUGUUGAAGGCUUUGCUGAAGUCAAGGUAGACCACAUCAACAGCCUUUCCCUCAUCCACCAGGUGGGUCUCUACAUCAUAGAAGGAGACCAGGUUGGUCAAGCAGGACCUGCCCUUUCUGAGCCCAUGCUGGCUAGACCUGAUCCCUCAGUUGUCCUGCACAUGCUGUAUGAUCUCUCUAAAGAUGAUCUGCUCCGUAACAUUUCCUGGCACCGAGGUUAGGCAGACAGGCUUGUAGUUCCUCAGAUAUUCUUUACUACCAUUCUUGUAGAUUGGAGUCACACUGGCAUGACUCCAAUCCUCUGGGACCUCUCCAGUUGACCAGGAAUGGUGAUAGAUGGUGGAAAACUGCUUGGCCAGCUGCCUCAGUACCCUUGGGUGGAUCCCACCUGUCCCCAUGGCAUUUCCGUGUAAAUCUUGGGGUUUUUUUCUGCUCCUUAUCCCAGACUUCUAAGCCAGGGAGUACAGCACCCCAAGGAUAACUGGUCUGACUUUUAAAGACAGACAUAAAAAAGCCAUUGAGAACCUCAGCCUUUUCCCUAUCCUCAGUGGUCACAUUCCCUGCCACAUCCAGUAAAGGACGAAUAUUCUUCUUAGCCCUCCUCUUAUUGUCAAUAUAUUUGUAAAAAAAUUUUUUUGUUCUCUUACCACAGCAGCCAAGUUGAGUUCAAGCUGGACUGUUGCCUUUCUAAUUUUCUCCCUGCAUACCAUAACAGCUUCUUUGUACUCUCCCUAAGUUGCCUGUCCCUUCUUCCACAGGAGGUAGAUUCUUUUUUUCUCCUGGAGUUCCCUGUUCAUCCCCGCCAGUCUUCUUCCCUGCUGGCUCAUCUUGCAGCACAGGAGGACAGCCUGCUCCUGGGCCUUUAAGACUUCCUUCUCCAGGAGCGACCAGCCUUCCUGGACCCUCUUACUCAUCAGGACUGAAUCCCAAGGGACCCUCCCUACCAGUGUCCUGAACAGUUCAGAGUCCGCCCUCCAGAAGUCCAAGGUAGCAGAUUUGCUGGCCCCUCUCCUGACUUCACUAAGAAUCGAGAACUCAUUCGUGGUCAUUCUGUCCAAGACAGCUCCUGACCUUCACAUCUCCCACCAGUCCUUCUCUGUUUGUGAACAGGAGGUCUAGCGGGGCACCUCCCUAGUAGGCUUUCUUACCAGCUGCAUCAGGAAGUUAUCUUCCACACACACUAGAAACCUCCUAGACUGCUUCUUCUGUGCUGUAUUGUAUUUCCAACGUGUAUCAGGGAAGUUGGAGGUUCCCCAUGAGAACAAGGGCUGGUAAUCGUGCAGCUUCUGCCAGCUGGUUAUAUUAUGCCUCAUCUGUCUCUUCAUCCUCGGUAGGUGGACUACAGCAGACCCCCACCAGGAUGUCAGCCUUGUUGGCCUUCCCUCUGAUCCUUACCCAUAGGAGCUCGACCUUAUCAUUUCCAGCCCCAAGCUCAACAUCAAAACACUCUUUAACAUAGAGAGCCACACCACCACCCCUUCUUCCUUGCUUAUCCCUUCUGAUGAGCUUACAUCCAUCCAAUGCAGCACUCCAGUCGUGGGAGCAAUCCCACCAUGUUUCCGUAAUGGCAACUAAGUCAUAGUUUGCCUCCUGCUUGAUGGCUUUCAUCUCCUACUGUCUGUUGCCCGUGCUGUGUCCAUUGGUGUAGAAGCACUUGAGCUUUUCAGCUUCACCCUUGCCCCACCCCCAGUGCUGUCAUCGUUCCCCUAGGCUCAUGGCCCUCCCCAUGCAACCUGCCGCGCCACGCCCUUCUGACAUGCUACACCAUUUGCCUGUCCUGUUUAUGCCACUUCUGUGUCACUCAGCUCCCUAGCAGCAGGAUUUGUACACGCAGGGGUGAUCCCGCCGCUGCCCCUGGCUCCGCCCACGCGACGUCGGAACGGCGGUGCCACGCGGUGGGCAAUGGUGGCCGGGGGUGCUGCCUGGCAGGGUGCUUCUCAACCAGCCGAGGGAAUUCCCUGCUUCGGAGUGGAAGGGGCCGUUCGAGAGCUGAGUACCUUGCCAGAAAGGUCAUACUGGCUAUGACAGCUCGAACUGUUUGAAAGACUUUGGAGUAGCCUUUUGCUAUUGCAAGGUGGUGGUAUUUUUUUUCCCUCAAGACUCUGUCUUCCAUUUUACAGUCUUUUUUUUUUUUUUUUUUUUUAAACCAACAGCCAGGUGUUUAUUAGUUUCUUGGCACUAUUUUACCUUAUGUCAGAAUUUCCAUGGCAGUUUUAGGGUGGCAGAAUCCUCAAAAGUUACUCCUUGCCCUUGAGGUCAGCUGUACGUUUUCUAACUGUUCUUGAGCAGACUUCUGGAAUUUAUGUGCCUUAGUUCUCCACACAGAAAUGACAUUUCUGUUGUUGUCUAUCUAAACUGUGGGCUCUCUAAGACAGGCAUACAAGUUACCAUUUUCCAGGAUUUGACCAUGUUCAGGUUACCGGGUUCAGGUUGAGAGGUGGUGAAGCUGCAAUCUCAGGACCCACAGAAGGGAAAACUGAGUGCCCGCAGCCUCUCUCUGAGCACUGGUUGCAGAGCCCCACCAAGUCCCGGAGCCAGAGCACAGGCUUCAUCAGCUCAUCAAUUAAGAAGGUGCUAAAUCAAACACCACGAGGCCUUAACCAAGCUGUGAGCCUGUUUUUUAUCAUUCAGUACAAAUUUUAAAAAGAGUGAUAUAGGAUGCAGAAAGAAGCAAGAACAGCACCUUUUUCCUAAACCUUAUUUCAGGAUUUUAGAAACGCUAUUCCAAAAAUAUUGGUACAAGAAAAGAAGCACCAGAAUUCCCUUCAUCUCUUGCACUCCAGUACUGCAGAUAUAUACUUUAACAACCAUCUGAAAAAUAAAUUAUUAGAUAUUGUCACAUUGCUGCUAAGUGGAGGCUAGUUAUUCAUAGACCUGUUCAUGAAAAUUCAGGCUUUUGUUCAAUCUAAAUUUUGAAACUAUUUAUUCAAAGGUAGUAUUUACAUUUUUCCAACCUCCUUAUUACCGAGCAAUAAAAACUCUUACCGAAAAAAAAACAUUGCUAGGUUCAUAGAAAUGGUCAGACAUCUUUGAAACUGCUGAACAGCUUAAGGUAGGAGAAAAUCAAGUAUUCAAGAUUCUGUGAGUUUUAUUCUAACUUAGCAGGGUCUAUUUUUUAAAAAGAAUGACCUUUUUUAUAUGUUUCCAGGCUCAUUCAAAAACUGUCAAAACACAAUAGUUGCUAAUACCUUGCUCUCACAGUUACAGAGAAUGUCUAUGAAGAAUAACAUUAUUUGUCAAUGAACAAGUACGAAUGAAGUAUACUGUUUAUAGACAACCUUCAGCCUGUGUUCAGUAUUAGUGUGGUGCUCUUGCAGAACAGCUUUGUAGUUGUCUCAGAAGCGGGUUUGCAGUGACCUCUGGAGGACAGACUUGAGACAGGGUCUGUUCACGUUCCAGACUCACUUUUGGGAAUUCGUAAUUGUACUGAACUCAAAUGUAGGUUCUCCAUCUUAAUCAGGGUGUAGAUCCUUUGCCUAUCCAUACCAGGGUUAGAAACUCCUGACCUUCAGUCUUUGAUGCCCCAAGUGCUACAGUGGCAGUGUGGCAGACCUUCCUCUGACUCCUGAAGCCUUUGGAAAUUUUAAGUACCAGCUUUGACUACACUAGGGAUUCUGAAGGAUAUUUCCUAUGAAAUGUUUGUUUUGUUUUGCUUUUUGCUUUUUUGCUAGGUUUCAAGUUUCACAGUAUGCAGAGAUGCCCCAGUAACCAGGUUCUGGAAGAACCAGCAGUUCGGAGAGAGUGGAAAAAGGACUAGUCCCAAGGGAACAGUUGUUACUGAGAGAUACAGCCACCACACACACAACAUUCAAUUAAUUAUGUCUACUGAGAGUAUCUCAUUAGCAGCUGUGUUACAAAACAGGGACUUUUUGUGCAGGAUGAAAAACUUUUUGUACUCUGGCCUCUUGAGAGGUAUUAUCAGAGUGACAGCGAUACCUGAAAGUAUUCAGUUAGAUCUCCACUGAUUUACAGGCCCAGUUUCUAAACCAAAAAGAAAAUAAUUAAAAAAUAUGUAUAUUAGUAGGAAAAUCUUGGCUAGCUCAGAAUUUGUGAUCCGAAGUCAUUCAGAAAAACUGCAGUAAAUUAUUAUUCUGUGUUGCGGUACAGCCUGACUACUGAUCACUUGCCUGAGUACUGAGGACUCCCUGAUGUCAUUGUGAGAAUUUCCUCAAUUAUUUCCCAAUGGUCUUGGAAAUCUGGAAGGGGCCCAGUUGUCUGGAAGCUGGCUAACAUCAUUCCAGCUUUGAAGAAGGCAAGAAGGAAGACCCUUGUAAUUACAGGCCAGGAGUGGAUGAAGAAAGCAAGGAAGAAACCCUGCUCGGGACAUCUACAUAUGUUGUCAGGAAAGAGGAAACCCAGACCUUCCCUCUGCAGAUGCAGUCAGCGUGUGCGGGCAGGUCACCAUUCCUGAAAAGUUGUUACUUCCACAAGUCAAGGCAGAAGGAGCACAGAGGGUCCCUCCUGGAGCAGGGACUGCAACCUGACCAACAGAAAUAUGGUGGGGUUGGGAGGGUGGGCGAUGGGUGGCAGGGUGGCAAAAGUACAGCUGGGGCUGUCUCUGUCUUGCGGCCAUUUGGCACCCCAGUGCUGCACCUGCAAGGCAGGUGGUGGCAGGGAUGAUGCCCAGAACACCACAACAGGUGAGAAGGAGAAGACAGAGUAGCUGCCUCUUUGACUUGGGCCAAAGCAGGUCCUAGAGCUGCGCCCAGGCUGUCAAAUGGAGGUGGCUUGAAUCUGCUGUGAGUCUGCACAUCUCAGGAGUGACAUUUUUUUUGCCAUGCUUUCUUUCAGACAAAGAACCCCAGAGCCUUUCGGUGUUUGAAACUUGUUGUACAGAGCAACUGGGGAAAAUUGGGAUACACCUACAUUUCUUGGAUGCAUGUAGAAGGAAUGGACAUCAGGACAAAUGCUGACAGCUGAAUACCAAAGAAGACAUGCUGUCAGUAACAAUGUAAAAGUAAUAAAGAGAACUAGACCAGA
Numida meleagris (helmeted guineafowl) is the source of this 5127-nucleotide long non-coding RNA. RefSeq lists it as uncharacterized. The record is from RefSeq and is a predicted model, not a curated record. The transcript has 2 exons. Lineage: Eukaryota; Metazoa; Chordata; Aves; Galliformes; Numididae.